UCACCAAGGAAAAGCAAGAAAAAGAAAGAACAAAACCCUAGGUGGAAAAAUUCAAGGGAAAAGUGUGAAAAUUCAAAGAAACAAGUGAAAAAAUGUAAGAUUUUUCAAUUUAAGCUUGAGAUCUCUCUUUCUUAAGCAUUUUUUCUUAUUUUUCAUGGUUAAAUCACAUGAAAUCAUGAUGAAUCCUUUGUUGGCCGAACACUUAGAGGGAGGUUUUGUUGUUUGAUUUGGUUAGAUUUCAAUGUAUUUUAGUGUUUUUAGUUAGUUAGUGAUGUGUAGUAUGAAAAGCCAACAAGAAAAAUUCACUUCCUUCUAUCACCUAUCAUUGGCCGAAUUUUCCAUGUAGAGUGUGUAUGGUGGAUUUGAUUUUAUUUCAAGUGAAUUGGUUAGGAAAUGAUGAAUUACGGUGAGAAAAUCAAGUAGGAAAAAUCGUAGUGUUGAUGCACCCACCAUGGCCGAAAUUUCCAAGGGAAAAUGUGAAGAUGAUUUUGCUAAAUUUUAUGCUAUUUGACUUGUGUUUGAUGGUUUGGAGAAUUGGAAGAAAAAUGGAGUUAAUUGGAGUUUAAUUGGACAUAUUGGCCAAUUAAUUGAGUGAUAGAUCGAAUUAGGCCAAUACCGUUUUAUUUAGGUACACAAUUGAAUUUACGUAGAACACCGUGUUUAGACGAUAAUCCGAACAAUUUGCAUUCCAUUUCAUGCAUCCAUAUAGUUUUAUAAUGAUUUAGCACCAAUGUGGUAAAUUGCUUGAUUGUGCAUUAUGUCUAGGUGGUGAAUCCUCCGAUAAGGGUAAAGAUAUUGUACCCAAGGAUCGAUAGUCGGAGUACUCUAAAAAUUCGACUCCCGAAAUAGUGAGUAACUGUAUCAUCAUUUUAAUUAUCUAAAGUGGUCUUUUUAUUUGAUUUUGUGAAUUUUAUGAAAAAUGUGAUUAAAUGAAAUGAUUUUAUAAAAUAGUCUUGAAAUUUAAUGAUGGCUUUGAAAAUAGAGUAAUUGGAGACCAUUUGAUGUAUUGUGAAUUUAUGGUUCUAAUUGAUCGGCUUAUGGUAAUAUUGGCAUGAAUGGUUGAAUUGGAAUUUGUGUUGAAAUUGUAUAAACUGUUGUUUGCCUUGAUAGGCUGGAUAAUGAUAAAAUUGCCAUGUCAUGCUGUUGAAUUUUUAUUGUAUGGUGGGUUUAGCUUGCUGCAGUGGGUGAGUUCUAUGGACCAGCCUAUUAGAGGGGCACGAAAUCCGAUUAUAUAUGUACCUCGAUCAGAGAGGUGUGUAGGGUAUCUCCUGAGGUAUGGUUAGAGUUCACGUCACGUCUAACCACCUCGUGAUGAUGAACUUUGCUAACGUUAAGGAACGGCUGUGUUUUUCAAACUAAAAAUAUGUUUACGUGUAUACGAAAUUUUUAACAGCCUUGGCGUACUCGGUUAGAUGCCUCGACCAAGGUAUUCCCGAGAAUGAUUUUGGCAGGAGCCAAACUUUUAAGAUACUCAUAAGCCAUGUUGAUUAUUUAAAUGAAAUGAAUAUUUAUGUUAUGAAAUACAUAUUGAGAUGGAAUAUUUUAAUCGUCUCCAUUUACUCGACUUUAGAUAUUUUGGAUGAUGUUUGUUUACUCACUGGGAUUAUAUAAUUUCACCACCCUCUUUUUCACCCAUUUCAGGCUCAGGAUAGUUUGUAGAUAGCUGAUAUCAUCGAAGGCUACAGUUGGCUUUACUUCUUCAAAAAUCGUAGGUUCACAGCCUUCGUUCACUUUUGUCAUUUGGGCGCUCACGUGUCAUUGUAAAUUAAAUUAUAUAUCUUGACUAUCUG
Molecule: long non-coding RNA, 1790 nt
Filed under: Theobroma cacao (cacao)
Lineage: Eukaryota; Viridiplantae; Streptophyta; Magnoliopsida; Malvales; Malvaceae
Description: long non-coding RNA (TCAC_LNC005883)
Source: RNAcentral